UUUCAUUUUAGAAUAUCGGUACUGUAGUUGAUUGUUAAGUGUAUUUUGCACCUUGGAAUUUGUGGAUGAAUCACAUUAAUGCUUUGUAGUUUAAAUUGUGGCAUAUUUAUUCCCGAUGAAUGAGGAUUUGUUGUUGUUGUUUUUCUCCCCACUGUUUUAAGAUAGCUGUGCAAUGGUGAAGUCAUUUACAUCCAAAACUUUUCUUGAAAGUUUCAUGCGUUUAGAAUGUACAGGCACUUGGGAAACUUACUUCUUAAACUCUUCUUUGCAAAAGAUAUUCAACAGAAUAAUAUAUUCCAACAAAAAUCUCAGUGGGAAAACCAGUUCACAUAAUCGGGAAUAGAAAUACAGAUUAUGUAGUCAUCAAACAUAGACUAUUCA
Molecule: long non-coding RNA, 381 nt
Filed under: Bos taurus (domestic cattle)
Lineage: Eukaryota; Metazoa; Chordata; Mammalia; Artiodactyla; Bovidae
Description: long non-coding RNA NONBTAT015279
Source: RNAcentral